GACAGAGGGUGCAAACGUUGUUCGGAAUUACUGGGCGUAAAGCGCGUGUAGGCGGCUAAGCAAGUCGGGCGUGAAAUCCCACCGCUCAACGGUGGAAGUGCACCCGAAACUGCAUAGCUAGAGUCCUGGAGAGGAAGGUGGAAUGCUUGGUGUAGAGGUGAAAUGCGUAGAUAUCGGGAGGAACACCAGUGGCGAAGGCGACUACCUGGCCUGUUCUUGACGCUGAGGCGCGAAAGCUAGGGGAGCAAACGGG
Molecule: ribosomal RNA, 253 nt
Filed under: uncultured bacterium
Lineage: Bacteria
Description: partial 16S ribosomal RNA
Rfam family: Bacterial small subunit ribosomal RNA
Source: RNAcentral